Molecule: transfer RNA, 73 nt
Filed under: Caerostris extrusa
Lineage: Eukaryota; Metazoa; Arthropoda; Arachnida; Araneae; Araneidae
Description: tRNA-Pro
Source: RNAcentral
GGCUCCACGGUGGUCUAGGGGUAUGAUUCUCGCUUUGGGUGCGAGAGGUCCCGUUCAAAUCCCGGCCGGGCCU